RNAcentral lists this ribosomal RNA (871 nucleotides) under uncultured archaeon. Its description in RNAcentral is "bacterial SSU rRNA". It matches the Rfam family "Archaeal small subunit ribosomal RNA", at positions 125 to 997 of the family's 1478-position model. The record is from RNAcentral.
GAUAACCCCCGGAAACUGGGUAUAAUACCCGAUAGGUCUCGAUUGCUGGAAUGCAUCGAGAUUUAAAGCUCCGGCGCCUAAGGAUGGGUCUGCGGCCUAUCAGGUAGUAGUGGGUGUAGCGUACCUACUAGCCUACGACGGGUACGGGUUGUGAGAGCAAGAGCCCGGAGAUGGAUUCUGAGACACGAAUCCAGGCCCUACGGGGUGCAGCAGGCGCGAAAACUUUACAAUGCUGGCAACAGCGAUAAGGGAACCUCGAGUGCCAGGUUACAAAUCUGGCUGUCGAGAUGCCUAAAAAGCAUUUCAUAGCAAGGGCCGGGCAAGACCGGUGCCAGCCGCCGCGGUAACACCGGCGGCUCGAGUGGUAACCGUUAUUAUUGGGUCUAAAGGGUCUGUAGCCGGCCGGAUAAGUCUCUUGAGAAAUCUGGCAGCUUAACUGUCAGGCUUUCAGGAGAUACUGUCUGGCUCGAGGCCGGGAGAGGUGAGAGGUACUUCAGGGGUAGGGGUGAAAUCUUGUAAUCCUUGAAGGACCACCAGUGGCGAAGGCGUCUCACCAGAACGGACCUGACGGCAAGGGACGAAAGCUAGGGGCACGAACCGGAUUAGAUACCCGGGUAGUCCUAGCCGUAAACGAUACUCGCUAGGUGUCGGCCACGGUGCGACCGUUGUCGGUGCCGUAGGGAAGCCGUGAAGCGAGCCACCUGGGAAGUACGGCCGCAAGGCUGAAACUUAAAGGAAUUGGCGGGGGAGCACCACAACGGGUGGAGCUUGCGGUUUAAUUGGAUUCAACGCCCGGAAAUCUUACCGGGACCGACAGCAAUAUGAACGCCAUGCUGAAGACUUUGCCGGAUUAGCUGAGAGUGAUGCAUCU